CGGCAACAGCUCAAAUUUGAAAUCUGGCCUCUUUGGGGUCCGAGUUGUAAUUUGUAGAGGAUGUUUCGGGUACCGCCUCGGUUUAAAUUUCUUGGAACAGAAUGUCAAAGAGGGUGAGAAUCCCGUCUAGAACCGACGGCCGCGUCCAUGUGAAACACCUUCGAC
This 165-nucleotide ribosomal RNA is filed under the name Exophiala sp. Its description in RNAcentral is "partial large subunit ribosomal RNA". It matches the Rfam family "Eukaryotic large subunit ribosomal RNA", at positions 99 to 261 of the family's 3401-position model. The record is from RNAcentral. Lineage: Eukaryota; Fungi; Ascomycota; Eurotiomycetes; Chaetothyriales; Herpotrichiellaceae.